GAAACCCUAAAGCACUAAUAAUCGAAAACAAAUAUUUCAAAACCCGAAUAACAAACACGAUAUCUGUUAACAAGAGUGAAGAACUUUCACCGACCAAGAAAACUUCGAGGAGUCCACCAACAAGAACAAUCAAUCUUCAAAUUGAACGAAAUUCAACAAAUAUGCUCAGGAUCGAAAGAGAAUCCUCGAAAAUGAAGACCAGAACACAUCCAAAACCUAAGAAAUUAAUGAAACCCUAAAGAAAACUUAAAAGGGCGUAGGUAUACAUAUUCGCAGCGUACUUCGUAAUGGUUUAAUCGAAAACCGC
Molecule: unclassified non-coding RNA, 307 nt
Filed under: Hevea brasiliensis (rubber tree)
Lineage: Eukaryota; Viridiplantae; Streptophyta; Magnoliopsida; Malpighiales; Euphorbiaceae
Source: RNAcentral